This 443-nucleotide ribosomal RNA is filed under the name uncultured bacterium. Its description in RNAcentral is "partial 16S ribosomal RNA". It matches the Rfam family "Bacterial small subunit ribosomal RNA", at positions 338 to 795 of the family's 1533-position model. The record is from RNAcentral.
CCUACGGGAGGCAGCAGUGGGGAAUAUUGGGCAAUGGGCGCAAGCCUGACCCAGCAACGCCGCGUGAAGGAAGAAGGCUUUCGGGUUGUAAACUUCUUUUGUCAGGGACGAAGCAAGUGACGGUACCUGACGAAUAAGCCACGGCUAACUACGUGCCAGCAGCCGCGGUAAUACGUAGGUGGCAAGCGUUAUCCGGAUUUACUGGGUGUAAAGGGCGUGUAGGCGGGGAGGCAAGUCAGAUGUGAAAACCACGGGCUCAACCUGUGGCCUGCAUUUGAAACUGUUUUUCUUGAGUGCUGGGGAGGCAAUCGGAAUUCCGUGUGGAGCGGUGAAAUGCGUAGAUAUACGGAGGAACACCAGUGGCGAAGGCGGAUUGCUGGACAGUAACUGACGCUGAGGCGCGAAAGCGUGGGGAGCAAACAGGAUUAGAUACCCCUGUAGUC